This 3366-nucleotide long non-coding RNA is filed under the name Capsicum annuum. RNAcentral's name for it is "long non-coding RNA (CANN_LNC018488)". Lineage: Eukaryota; Viridiplantae; Streptophyta; Magnoliopsida; Solanales; Solanaceae. The record is from RNAcentral.
ACGUAUCCUAACCCAUGUAAUUAUACCCCAUAAAAAUAUAAAAAUAACAAUCCUUAACAAAAUUCCUAACAAAUUUUACCUUAUUUUAAUCAUCCUAACAACCUAACUACCCCUACCCACCUCAUUAUCCACGUCACCCCACCCAAUUUCCCUCACAUUUUAUUUUUCAUAAAAAAAAAUACAAAGAUAAGAGGAGAAAGAAAUACAUCACAACAACUUGAAGGGGAGCCCACACCAUAGAUAUACACCAUCUUCUUCUCCGCAAAAUACACGGAUCCACUGGGAAUAUUCACGACUCCCCAUCAAUUUUCACACACACAAAACGCAUAUACAGUGAGGACACACGCAUCUGGGGAACCUCCAUUUUUUUUUCAUGUUCACAGCAAAUACACGAUAUAUGCACACAUUGCACUGAAAUUCUUUUUCUUCUCAGGGAGAAUACACGCACAUAGGGAGAAUCAGCACACACAUACAACAACACCAUUUCACACACCCACACGCUGAAACGGAGAAAAAAUGGGAGUGGAAGCUAGUAACUGAGAGAUUGAACGAAGAGAGAGGAGGGAGAUCGAACGGGAGAGGAUUCAGGGAGGAGAAAAAUAGCAUCGCCACUGUUAAGCUCGCCGGAGCUCCGGUGACGCUACAACAGUGAUCAGACGAACCCCAAAGGAUCGAGCUCGACCCAAUUCUGCCUGAUUCCAGCGAGGUCCGUCGGAAAAUGAGAGAAACAGCAAAAAAGGUGUAUGGAUUUUAGUACUAGUUUCAUGUUGCUUUCUCGAUUCUAAUUCGGGUUGGCGAAGCAGAGUAAAAAGGUAUAUCGAGCUCGGGUUGGUUGGUUGAGGUUCGAUUCGAGGUUCAUCGGCGCGGACUCUACCGGAUUUAAUCGAAAUAAUACAUCGAAUUGAGAAAGCUUUAAAUCGAGGUUCAAUUCUACUCUUUUUCUUUUUUUUUAUCUCAUCGUUUAUUAUAUUUGGUGUGUUAGAUUGAAUAUCAUGUGUCGCUUGAUCCUUGUUGAUGAUGAAUAGUGAUUUAUUUUGAUUCGUGGUUGGUUUCCUUGAUUAUAGAUUGCACGGUGAAAUAUUUCGUUUGAGAAUUAAAAUUAAUUUGGGGGUGAGAAUUGAAAACUUGACAUAAUUGGUGAACUUUGGUUAGUUUGAUUCAUUGAUUGUUUGACUUGAAAUGAACAUUAAUUGAACUUAGUAGUACAUGAUACGUCGAUUGGUUUAGACAAACAUAGGUUGUGUAGGCAAAGUUUAGAAUUUGUGUUUUUUUUUUUGUUUGAGUUUAGACAAUGAUAUUGAGUUUCGGCGAUGGUAUGUUUGGUUCACACCUCCCCAAAGUGGUCUCAAUCUUUUAUGAGGUAAAAUAAUAUAAUGUUUUCUGCCAAAGGUAGGUAUUUUCACAUUAACUUUAUUGCCUAUAUUUAUGAGGAACCUACAUACUCAUCAAUAUAAUGAAUUGCAUUAGACUUAGUGACAGCCAUGUAUUUAAACAUGUUAAUCACGGAGAUAUACUAUCGAAUAUUACGGUAAGGAAUUAUUCUCCUAUUUAAAUUUGACCAUUGAACAUAUGGUUCUACACUGUAAACUUUUAUCUAGAAUAUGCUUUCGUCCCAAAAUCGACAAAACAAGUUACAAGUUUCCUGUCUUGUCCAUUUUUCCUUAUAUUUUUAAAUCAGAGAUUUAGGUAGAUACCUAAUUUUAUUCCUUUUAAAUUUAAUUUUAUUCGUUUUAAUUUACCUUACCACGUAUCCUAACCCAUGUAAUUAUACCCCAUAAAAAUAUAAAAAUAACAAUCCUUAACAAAAUUCCUAACAAAUUUUACCUUAUUUUAAUCAUCCUAACAACCUAACUACCCCUACCCACCUCAUUAUCCACGUCACCCCACCCAAUUUCCCUCACAUUUUAUUUUUCAUAAAAAAAAAUACAAAGAUAAGAGGAGAAAGAAAUACAUCACAACAACUUGAAGGGGAGCCCACACCAUAGAUAUACACCAUCUUCUUCUCCGCAAAAUACACGGAUCCACUGGGAAUAUUCACGACUCCCCAUCAAUUUUCACACACACAAAACGCAUAUACAGUGAGGACACACGCAUCUGGGGAACCUCCAUUUUUUUUUCAUGUUCACAGCAAAUACACGAUAUAUGCACACAUUGCACUGAAAUUCUUUUUCUUCUCAGGGAGAAUACACGCACAUAGGGAGAAUCAGCACACACAUACAACAACACCAUUUCACACACCCACACGCUGAAACGGAGAAAAAAUGGGAGUGGAAGCUAGUAACUGAGAGAUUGAACGAAGAGAGAGGAGGGAGAUCGAACGGGAGAGGAUUCAGGGAGGAGAAAAAUAGCAUCGCCACUGUUAAGCUCGCCGGAGCUCCGGUGACGCUACAACAGUGAUCAGACGAACCCCAAAGGAUCGAGCUCGACCCAAUUCUGCCUGAUUCCAGCGAGGUCCGUCGGAAAAUGAGAGAAACAGCAAAAAAGGUGUAUGGAUUUUAGUACUAGUUUCAUGUUGCUUUCUCGAUUCUAAUUCGGGUUGGCGAAGCAGAGUAAAAAGGUAUAUCGAGCUCGGGUUGGUUGGUUGAGGUUCGAUUCGAGGUUCAUCGGCGCGGACUCUACCGGAUUUAAUCGAAAUAAUACAUCGAAUUGAGAAAGCUUUAAAUCGAGGUUCAAUUCUACUCUUUUUCAUUUUUUUUAUCUCAUCGUUUAUUAUAUUUGGUGUGUUAGAUUGAAUAUCAUGUGUCGCUUGAUCCUUGUUGAUGAUGAAUAGUGAUUUAUUUUGAUUCGUGGUUGGUUUCCUUGAUUAUAGAUUGCACGGUGAAAUAUUUCGUUUGAGAAUUAAAAUUAAUUUGGGGGUGAGAAUUGAAAACUUGACAUAAUUGGUGAACUUUGGUUAGUUUGAUUCAUUGGUUGUUUGACUUGAAAUGAACAUUAAUUGAACUUAGUAGUACAUGAUACGUCGAUUGGUUUAGACAAACAUAGGUUGUGUAGGCAAAGUUUAGAAUUUGUGACUUUGGUUGAAUGUUGGAAAUUCCGUGAAUGUUUGAAAUUUUGUUGAAUAGUUUGAUUUUUCUGCACUAAUUAUGUAUUCAUUUGGCUGGGUAAUGCCUUGAGUGAUUUGUAUUGAUUUAUUCGGGGAAUGCCCCGAAGUAUCUUGUACUUGAAGACGACGCACAAUCAAGGCCCGGAAUGUCGGAUGGAGAAAGCAAUGGAGUGUAGUUUAGAAUUGACAUAGAAUAGAGUAGGUUUAUAAUUUCGCAUUUUCUAUUUCGAGAUUGUAAUAAUCGGACUGGACACUAUAAUUUUGGAUUUGUUUUGUUUGUUUGUUUGAUUGAUUGUUUUGUGUGAUUUUGUGUGGUUUAUAUA